This 72-nucleotide transfer RNA is filed under the name Sus scrofa (pig). It matches the Rfam family "tRNA". From Rfam's summary of the family: Transfer RNA (tRNA) molecules are approximately 80 nucleotides in length. Lineage: Eukaryota; Metazoa; Chordata; Mammalia; Artiodactyla; Suidae. The record is from Rfam by way of RNAcentral.
UUCCUGGUGGUCUAGUGGUUAGGACUUGGCGCUUUCACCACUGCGGCUCAGGUUUAAGCCCUGGCCUGGGAA